GGCGAAAGCCUGAUCCAGCAAUGCCGCGUGCAGGAUGAAGGCCUUCGGGUUGUAAACUGCUUUUGUACGGAACGAAAAGCUUCGGGUUAAUACCCUGGAGUCAUGACGGUACCGUAAGAAUAAGCACCGGCUAACUAUGUGCCAGCAGCCGCGGUAAUACGUAGGGUGCAAGCGUUAAUCGGAAUUACUGGGCGUAAAGCGUGCGCAGGCGGUUUUGUAAGACAGAGGUGAAAUCCCCGGGCUCAACCUGGGAACUGCCUUUGUGACUGCAAGGCUAGAGUACGGCAGAGGGGGAUGGAAUUCCGCGUGUAGCAGUGAAAUGCGUAGAUAUGCGGAGGAACACCGAUGGCGAAGGCAAUCCCCUGGGCCUGUACUGACGCUCAUGCACGAAAGCGUGGGGAGCAAACAGGAUUAGAUACCCUGGUAGUCCACGCCCUAAACGAUGUCAACUGGUUGUUGGGUCUUAACUGACUCAGUAACGAAGCUAACGCGUGAAGUUGACCGCCUGGGGAGUACGGC
This 519-nucleotide ribosomal RNA is filed under the name uncultured bacterium. RNAcentral's name for it is "bacterial SSU rRNA". It matches the Rfam family "Bacterial small subunit ribosomal RNA", at positions 374 to 886 of the family's 1533-position model. The record is from RNAcentral.